UGAGCAUCGCAGAUAAUUAUUAGGAAUGAU
Molecule: non-coding RNA, 30 nt
Filed under: Rattus norvegicus (Norway rat)
Lineage: Eukaryota; Metazoa; Chordata; Mammalia; Rodentia; Muridae
Source: RNAcentral